Molecule: ribosomal RNA, 497 nt
Filed under: uncultured bacterium
Lineage: Bacteria
Description: partial 16S ribosomal RNA
Rfam family: Bacterial small subunit ribosomal RNA
Source: RNAcentral
GAUGAACGCUGGCGGCGUGCCUAAUACAUGCAAGUCGAGCGAACGGACGAGAAGCUUGCUUCUCUGAUGUUAGCGGCGGACGGGUGAGUAACACGUGGAUAACCUACCUAUAAGACUGGGAUAACUUCGGGAAACCGGAGCUAAUACCGGAUAAUAUUUUGAACCGCAUGGUUCAAAAGUGAAAGACGGUCUUGCUGUCACUUACAGAUGGAUCCGCGCUGCAUUAGCUAGUUGGUAAGGUAACGGCUUACCAAGGCAACGAUGCAUAGCCGACCUGAGAGGGUGAUCGGCCACACUGGAACUGAGACACGGUCCAGACUCCUACGGGAGGCAGCAGUAGGGAAUCUUGCGCAAUGGGCGAAAGCCUGACGGAGCAACGCCGCGUGAGUGAUGAAGGUCUUCGGAUCGUAAAACUCUGUUAUUAGGGAAGAACAUAUGUGUAAGUAACUGUGCACAUCUUGACGGUACCUAAUCAGAAAGCCACGGCUAACUACGUG